This 253-nucleotide ribosomal RNA is filed under the name uncultured bacterium. Its description in RNAcentral is "partial 16S ribosomal RNA". It matches the Rfam family "Bacterial small subunit ribosomal RNA", at positions 524 to 776 of the family's 1533-position model. The record is from RNAcentral.
UACGUAGGGUGCAAGCGUUGUCCGGAAUUAUUGGGCGUAAAGAGCUCGUAGGCGGUUUGUCGCGUCGGCUGUGAAAACUCGGGGCUCAACCCCGAGCCUGCAGUCGAUACGGGCAGACUAGAGUGCGGUAGGGGAGACUGGAAUUCCUGGUGUAGCGGUGAAAUGCGCAGAUAUCAGGAGGAACACCGGUGGCGAAGGCGGGUCUCUGGGCCGUAACUGACGCUGAGGAGCGAAAGCGUGGGGAGCAAACAGG